CAUCUCGAUGGACCUUAUUUUCAAAAACGUUACCCUUCUGGUAGUAAUAUAUUUCACCUUUAUUGCCACAGAGGGUGAAGCACAAAAACAUAAUCUUCUCGCUAGAGUACAUUAUUUAACAGGGGAAGGAUAUUUUCCUGUCUGGUGGAGUUCGAUUUGGUAUGGCUGGGGAUUUAUCCAGCUCGGGUAUAUCCUUGCUGGGCUGUUCGCACUGUUCGUCUACACAAAUUGGGUUCGCGAACCGGAAUCAGACAAUGGCCCCUUUUACAACUACCGAAGUUUGGACAAUUCCCGGAGUCAACAAAGCGCUGCUAACUUGGACAGUCUAAUUGAAGAUUUUGGUUCCAAAUUCGUGGGA
Molecule: long non-coding RNA, 358 nt
Organism: Wyeomyia smithii (pitcher-plant mosquito)
Lineage: Eukaryota; Metazoa; Arthropoda; Insecta; Diptera; Culicidae
Exons: 3
Source: RefSeq, a predicted model, not a curated record